This 524-nucleotide long non-coding RNA is filed under the name Brassica rapa (field mustard). RNAcentral describes it as "long non-coding RNA (BRAP_LNC000411)". Lineage: Eukaryota; Viridiplantae; Streptophyta; Magnoliopsida; Brassicales; Brassicaceae. The record is from RNAcentral.
UUAAGUAUCUCCUUAUUUGUAAUAUCUCAUUAGCAAAUCAAGAACUUAUGGAUAAUUACUAAAACACUAAAAGUUAAAAGGGAAAAUUUUAUGUUUACCACUUUCAUGUUACCACUUUCAUCUUUACCACCACUAAAGAGACAUUUUCAAAAAGAGUCAUUCUUGGGUUCACUCCCUAGGGUGAACCUCUAGGUUCACCAACCAAUAGAAUUUCAUUAUUUCAAAUUCGAUAUCUUUUAAAAAAGGAAACAAAAUAUUCUCAAAUUAUAUUAUGUUUUUAAAAUAAAAAAAAAGAUAAUAGUUACAGAAAAACAAAUUCAAAAAAAAUAUAUUUUUAAUGUUCUCAACAAAACACUAAACCCUAAAUCCUAAUCCCUAAACCCUAAAUCCUUGGAUAAACCCUAAACCCUUGGGUAAAUCCUAAACCCUUGGGUAAACCCUAAACCUUUGGAUAAACCCUAAACCCUUGGAUAAAUCCUAAACUCUAAAUAAAAAAUACUAAAACCCUAAACCCUAAACGCUUG